GUCCACGCCCUAAACGAUGUCAACUGGUUGUUGGGUCUUCACUGACUAAGUAACGAAGCUAACGCGUGAAGUUGACCGCCUGGGGAGUACGGCCGCAAGGUUGAAACUCAAAAGAAUUGACGGGGCCCGCACAAGCGGUGGAGCAUGUUGUUUAAUUCGACGCAACGCGAAGAACCUUACCUGGGCUAGAAAGUACAGGAACCUGGUUGAAAAAUCGGGGUGCCCUUCGGGGAAUCUGUGGUUAGGUGCUGCAUGGCUGUCGU
RNAcentral lists this ribosomal RNA (263 nucleotides) under uncultured bacterium. RNAcentral's name for it is "partial 16S ribosomal RNA". It matches the Rfam family "Bacterial small subunit ribosomal RNA", at positions 793 to 1055 of the family's 1533-position model. The record is from RNAcentral.